GGAGGUAGUGACAAUAAAUCACAAUGCGGAACAAUGUUUUGCAAUUGGAUUGAGAACAACGUACAAACCUUAUCGAUAAACAAUUGGAGGGCAAGUCUGGUGCCAGCAGCCGCGGUAAUUCCAGCUCCAAUAGCGUAUAUUAACGUUGUUGCAGUUAAAAAGCUCGUAGUUGAAAUGAAGGGUAGUUGUGUAAUGAAUACAUUCGUGUAUUUUGUUAUUCAACUACCCUCCUUCUAAAUUCGAUAUAUGAGUAUUAAUUUACUUGUAUAUGGUUUUAGACGUUUACUGUGAGAAAAUUAGAGUGUUCAAAGCAGGCAUUUGCUUGAAUAUAUUAGCAUGGAAUAAUCAUGUAUGAUUUUCAUGAUGUAUUUGAUUGGUUUGGUUCAUGAGAAUAAGAUUAAAAGGGACAGUUGGGGGUAUUCAUAUUCAAUAGUCAGAGGUGAAAUUCUCGGAUUUAUGGAAGAUGAACAAGUGCGAAAGCA
Molecule: ribosomal RNA, 482 nt
Filed under: Blastocystis sp.
Lineage: Eukaryota; Bigyra; Opalinata; Blastocystidae
Also listed under: 1 other name
Description: SSU rRNA
Rfam family: Eukaryotic small subunit ribosomal RNA
Source: RNAcentral